UGCCCAUAAGACUGGGAUAACUCCGGGAAACCGGGGCUAAUACCGGAUAACAUUUUGAACCGCAUGGUUCGAAAUUGAAAGGCGGCUUCGGCUGUCACUUAUGGAUGGACCCGCGUCGCAUUANCUAGUUGGUGAGGUAACGGCUCACCAAGGCAACGAUGCGUAGCCGACCUGAGAGGGUGAUCGGCCACACUGGGACUGAGACACGGCCCAGACUCCUACGGGAGGCAGCAGUAGGGAAUCUUCCGCAAUGGACGAAAGUCUGACGGAGCAACGCCGCGUGAGUGAUGAAGGCUUUCGGGUCGUAAAACUCUGUUGUUAGGGAAGAACAAGUGCUAGUUGAAUAAGCUGGCACCUUGACGGUACCUAACCAGAAAGCCACGGCUAACUACGUGCCAGCAGCCGCGGUAAUACGUAGGUGGCAAGCGUUAUCCGGAAUUAUUGGGCGUAAAGCGCGCGCAGGUGGUUUCUUAAGUCUGAUGUGAAAGCCCACGGCUCAACCGUGGAGGGUCAUUGGAAACUGGGAGACUUGAGUGCAGAAGAGGAAAGUGGAAUUCCAUGUGUAGCGGUGAAAUGCGUAGAGAUAUGGAGGAACACCAGUGGCGAAGGCGACUUUCUGGUCUGUAACUGAC
This 632-nucleotide ribosomal RNA is filed under the name Bacillus cereus. RNAcentral's name for it is "bacterial SSU rRNA". It matches the Rfam family "Bacterial small subunit ribosomal RNA", at positions 127 to 744 of the family's 1533-position model. The record is from RNAcentral. Lineage: Bacteria; Bacillati; Bacillota; Bacilli; Caryophanales; Bacillaceae.